GAUGUGCUUUAGAGCUAUGAUCCUGCAUAAUAUCAGUUGAAAAGAUUUUAAUAUUCCCAACUAGUGAAAAAUCAGCGUCAUUUAUUUAUUCAUGAGCAAGUGUGCACAAAUGAAAACAUGGCCAUCUGAACAUUCCUUUUAUAAAGUCAGAGAUAUAUUGCUCGCAUGCAAAGACACACAUACAAGAUGAUCUCACCUUUGGCAUGUACAGAUCUAUUA
RNAcentral lists this unclassified non-coding RNA (219 nucleotides) under Hevea brasiliensis (rubber tree). Lineage: Eukaryota; Viridiplantae; Streptophyta; Magnoliopsida; Malpighiales; Euphorbiaceae. The record is from RNAcentral.